GGAUAGUGAGACAAGGAAUAUUCUCAAGUUAAAGCAUAUCAACUUUUAUCAAUCUAUAAGGGAUUUUAGGUCAGCCCACACAAGGGAUGACACAUAUGCUAGUGCCCGAUAUAGAGGGAUACACAUCUCUAAAAUAUUGAGGCAAAAAUUUAGAAAAGAAAGGAUCAUUCACAUAUCGACCAUAUACCAAACAUGGAUUGCUAAAACUCUAUGGGAGAAACAAGUAUGUAUACACAAACAAACUACCGGGAAUGUAU
This 257-nucleotide long non-coding RNA is filed under the name Lathyrus oleraceus (garden pea). RNAcentral's name for it is "Pisum sativum (pea) long non-coding RNA (PSAT_LNC025042)". Lineage: Eukaryota; Viridiplantae; Streptophyta; Magnoliopsida; Fabales; Fabaceae. The record is from RNAcentral.